Molecule: ribosomal RNA, 253 nt
Filed under: uncultured bacterium
Lineage: Bacteria
Description: partial 16S ribosomal RNA
Rfam family: Bacterial small subunit ribosomal RNA
Source: RNAcentral
UACGUAGGUGGCGAGCGUUGUCCGGAUUUACUGGGCGUAAAGGGCGUGCAGGCGGUUUGUUAAGUGCAGGGUGAAAGCUCCCGGCUCAACUGGGAGAGGUCCUUGCAUACUGGCGAACUCGAGGGAGGCAGAGGAAAGUGGAAUUCCCGGUGUAGUGGUGAUAUGCGUAGAUAUCAGGAAGAACACCCGUGGCGAAGGCGGCUCUCUGGGACGGUACUGACGCUGAGACGCGAAAGCGUGGGGAGCGAACAGG